CCUACGGGAGGCAGCAGUGGGGAAUAUUGCACAAUGGGGGAAACCCUGAUGCAGCGACGCCGCGUGAGUGAAGAAGUACUUCGGUAUGUAAAGCCCUAUCAGCAGGGAAGAAAAUGACGGUUCCUGAGUAAGAAGCCCCCGCGAACCACGUGCCAGCAGCCGCGGUAAUACGUAGGGGGCAAGCGUUAUCCGGAUUUACUGGGUGUAAAGGGAGCGUAGACGGCAGGGCAAGUCUGGGGUGAACGGCCGGGGCCCAACCCCCGGACUGCACGUGGAACUGUACGGCUGGAGUGCAGGAGAGGUAGGCGGAAUUCCUGGUGUAGCGGUGAAAUGCGUAGAUAUCAGGAGGAACACCAGUGGCGAAGGCGGCUUACUGGACUGUGACUGACGUUGAGGCUCGAAAGCGUGGGGAGCGAACAGGAUUAGAUACCCUUGUAGUC
RNAcentral lists this ribosomal RNA (440 nucleotides) under uncultured bacterium. RNAcentral describes it as "partial 16S ribosomal RNA". It matches the Rfam family "Bacterial small subunit ribosomal RNA", at positions 338 to 795 of the family's 1533-position model. The record is from RNAcentral.